UACGAAGGGGGCUAGCGUUGCUCGGAAUCACUGGGCGUAAAGGGUGCGUAGGCGGUCGGAUAAGUCUGAUGUGAAAUCUUCGAGCUCAACUCGGAAACUGCAUCGGAAACUAUUCGGCUGGAGGAUUGGAGGGGAGACUGGAAUUCUCGGUGUAGCAGUGAAAUGCGUAGAUAUCGAGAGGAACACCAGUGGCGAAGGCGAGUCCCUGGACAACACCUGACACUGAGGCACGAAAGCUAGGGGAGCAAACAGG
RNAcentral lists this ribosomal RNA (253 nucleotides) under uncultured bacterium. RNAcentral's name for it is "partial 16S ribosomal RNA". It matches the Rfam family "Bacterial small subunit ribosomal RNA", at positions 524 to 776 of the family's 1533-position model. The record is from RNAcentral.